UGGAAAGAUUUUUUGGUCAGGGAUGAGCUCGCGGCCUAUCAGCUUGUUGGUGAGGUAAUGGCUCACCAAGGCGUCGACGGGUAGCCGGCCUGAGAGGGUGACCGGCCACACUGGGACUGAGACACGGCCCAGACUCCUACGGGAGGCAGCAGUGGGGAAUAUUGCACAAUGGGCGCAAGCCUGAUGCAGCAACGCCGCGUGAGGGAUGACGGCCUUCGGGUUGUAAACCUCUUUUAGCAGGGAAGAAGCGAAAGUGACGGUACCUGCAGAAAAAGCGCCGGCUAACUACGUGCCAGCAGCCGCGGUAAUACGUAGGGCGCAAGCGUUAUCCGGAAUUAUUGGGCGUAAAGAGCUCGUAGGCGGUUUGUCGCGUCUGCUGUGAAAUCCCGAGGCUCAACUUCGGGUCUGCAGUGGGUACGGGCAGACUAGAGUGCGGUAGGGGAGAUUGGAAUUCCUGGUGUAGCGGUGGAAUGCGCAGAUAUCAGGAGGAACACCGAUGGCGAAGGCAGAUCUCUGGGCCGUAACUGACGCUGAGGAGCGAAAGGGUGGGGAGCAAACAGGCUUAGAUACCCUGGUAGUCCACCCCGUAAACGUUGGGAACUAGUUGUGGGGUCCAUUCCACGGAUUCCGUGACGCAGCUAACGCAUUAAGUUCCCCGCCUGGGGAGUACGGCCGCAAGGCUAAAACUCAAAGGAAUUGACGGGGACCCGCACAAGCGGCGGAGCAUGCGGAUUAAUUCGAUGCAACGCGAAGAACCUUACCAAGGCUUGACAUAUACGAGAACGCUGCAGAAAUGUAGAACUCUUUGGACACUCGUAAACAGGUGGUGCAUGGUUGUCGUCAGCUCGUGUCGUGAGAUGUUGGGUUAAGUCCCGCAACGAGCGCAACCCUCGUUCUAUGUUGCCAGCACGUAAUGGUGGGAACUCAUGGGAUACUGCCGGGGUCAACUCGGAGGAAGGUGGGGAUGACGUCAAAUCAUCAUGCCCCUUAUGUCUUGGGCUUCACGCAUGCUACAAUGGCCGGUACAAAGGGCUGCAAUACCGUGAGGUGGAGCGAAUCCCAAAAAGCCGGUCCCAGUUCGGAUUGAGGUCUGCAACUCGACCUCAUGAAGUCGGAGUCGCUAGUAAUCGCAGAUCAGCAACGCUGCGGUGAAUACGUUCCCGGGUCUUGUACACACCGCCCGUCAAGUCAUGAAAGUCGGUAACACCUGAAGCCGGUGGCCCAACCCUUGUGGAGGGAGCCGUCGAAGGUGGGAUCGGUAAUUAGGACUAAGUCGUAACAAGGUAGCCGUACCGGAAGGUGCGGCUGGAUCACCUCCUUU
RNAcentral lists this ribosomal RNA (1321 nucleotides) under Microbacterium laevaniformans. Its description in RNAcentral is "bacterial SSU rRNA". It matches the Rfam family "Bacterial small subunit ribosomal RNA", at positions 200 to 1533 of the family's 1533-position model. Lineage: Bacteria; Bacillati; Actinomycetota; Actinomycetes; Micrococcales; Microbacteriaceae. The record is from RNAcentral.